RNAcentral lists this ribosomal RNA (253 nucleotides) under uncultured bacterium. Its description in RNAcentral is "partial 16S ribosomal RNA". It matches the Rfam family "Bacterial small subunit ribosomal RNA", at positions 524 to 776 of the family's 1533-position model. The record is from RNAcentral.
UACGUAGGGCGCAAGCGUUGUCCGGAAUUAUUGGGCGUAAAGAGCUCGUAGGCGGUUUGUCGCGUCUGCUGUGAAAACCCGAGGCUCAACCUCGGGCCUGCAGUGGGUACGGGCAGACUAGAGUGUGGUAGGGGAGACUGGAAUUCCUGGUGUAGCGGUGGAAUGCGCAGAUAUCAGGAGGAACACCAAUGGCGAAGGCAGCUCACUGGGACGGUAUUGACGCUGAGACGCGAAAGCGUGGGGAGCAAACAGG